AUGAGAGGAGGAAAACAUGUAUUCUUAAGUCUUCAAUUUAAUAUUUUUACAGUGAUAUGUAUAACGAGUGGAAGAUUGAACUGAAAGCUAUGGCAGACUGAAUUAUUAGCAUGCAGAAACAACUAUUUGAUGCUUUAAGUGCUAAAGGUACUCCAGGUGACUGGAGUCACAUUAUAAAGCAGAUUGGAAUGUCUACUUUCAUAGGAUUAAUCAGGACAAGAACAAAUACAACACCCCAAAAUAUCGUUUAUGUUUUUUAUGGUGAAUAAUUUCUGUUUGGGUUGAGGGUAUACUGUUUAGACAUAUAGGUUGCUUAAUGUGCUGAAAUACCUAGGUUAAUUCAAAAUGUGAUUAUUUGUUCUUUAGCGGGUUGCUAGUUAAUACUUUAAACCUUAACAUAUUUAUUAGACCAACAAGGAUAUAAUUGCACAAAUCAUACAUGCUAGUAUUUCUGGUGAUAUAGUUCUUGCAGCAGCUUACAAACAUGCUAGUAAUUAAAACUGUUUCUUACUUGGUUGUAAGUUCUCCUCUUCGGAAUACCAUCUUCAAGCAUUGUAACACAAAUUUCUACCAUAAAACCUUAUGGAUAUCCUAUGUUGUAUGCUGGUUUAAUAGCAAGAAAAACCCAAGAUUCCUUUGUAGCUUUAGAUCGUCUAUGCGUUUAUCUGAAAUUAUGAUUGUGGCUAUGUUUAAAUUUCAAUGGUCCUUUUUGUACUUGACGUAUUAUGAUUGUAGCUGUAGUUCGUAACACUCCCUAAUUAUUCAUCUCUUUUGCAUAUAAGCUCAUCAUUCCAUGCUUGUUUUCCAUAUAAUAUUUUAUGGUUUUAUAGUCGAACCUCUGAUUUUGCCCUUUUCGACAGAGGGGAAACUUUAGGUGCAGUACAAGUUCAAUAGGAGUGCAAUCCCAACUUGAGAAGCUUCCAAACUUUUGAAAGUCGAAGUUACCGAUUGCUCCCAAGAACUAACCAAGGGAGUUAAUUAUAUUCGCAAUAUGAUUCAAUCAAGUUUGGAUAAGCGGCUUGCUAUGUGGGAGAAGUACUGUCUUUGCCAUUGUUUUACGGUUCCUGAAGGUUUUUCUUUGCCCAAAAAU
Gossypium raimondii (Peruvian cotton) is the source of this 1090-nucleotide long non-coding RNA. RefSeq lists it as uncharacterized. The record is from RefSeq and is a predicted model, not a curated record. The transcript has 4 exons. Lineage: Eukaryota; Viridiplantae; Streptophyta; Magnoliopsida; Malvales; Malvaceae.